GACGAACCGUGCGAACGUUGUUCGGAAUCACUGGGCUUAAAGGGCGCGUAGGCGGCCUGCAUAGUCGGGGGUGAAAUCUUUCGGCUUAACCGGAAAAUUGCCUUCGAUACUGGCAGGCUCGAGCGAGGUAGGGGCGGAUGGAACUUCCGGUGGAGCGGUGAAAUGUGUUGAUAUCGGAAGGAACGCCGGUGGCGAAAGCGAUCCGCUGGACCUCUUCUGACGCUGAGGCGCGAAAGCUAGGGGAGCAAACGGG
RNAcentral lists this ribosomal RNA (253 nucleotides) under uncultured Gemmata sp. RNAcentral's name for it is "partial 16S ribosomal RNA". It matches the Rfam family "Bacterial small subunit ribosomal RNA", at positions 524 to 776 of the family's 1533-position model. Lineage: Bacteria; Pseudomonadati; Planctomycetota; Planctomycetia; Gemmatales; Gemmataceae. The record is from RNAcentral.